Molecule: ribosomal RNA, 438 nt
Filed under: uncultured Ignavibacteria bacterium
Lineage: Bacteria; Pseudomonadati; Ignavibacteriota; Ignavibacteria
Description: partial 16S ribosomal RNA
Rfam family: Bacterial small subunit ribosomal RNA
Source: RNAcentral
CCUACGGGUGGCAGCAGUGAGGAAUAUUGGGCAAUGCCCGAAAGGGUGACCCAGCAACGCCGCGUGGAGGAUGAAGUCCUUCUGGACGUAAACUCCUUUUAGAGGGGACGAAAAGCCCGAUUUGUCGGGAAUUGACGGUACCCUCAGAAAAAGCACCGGCUAACUACGUGCCAGCAGCCGCGGUAAUACGUAGGGUGCAAGCGUUGUCCGGAUUCACUGGGUGUAAAGGGUGCGCAGGCGGGCUCUUAAGUCAAAGGUAAAAUCUCUCGGCUUAACCGAGAAAUUGCCUUUGAUACUGAGAGCCUUGAGUACGGGAGAGGGAGAUGAAAUUCCAGGUGUAGCGGUAAAAUGCGUAGAGAUCUUGAAGAACACCGGUUGCGAAGGCGAUCAUCUGGCUCGUUACUGACGCUCAGGGACGAAAGCGUGGGGAGCAAACAG